UACGGGGGGGGCGAGCGUUAUUCGGAAUUAUUGGGCGUAAAGGGCGCGUAGGCGGCCAGUCAAGUCAAAGGUGAAAUCCCUCGGCUCAACCGAGGAAUGGCCUUUGAAACUGCCUGGCUAGAGGCCGGGAGGGGGUAGCGGAAUUCCCAGUGUAGCGGUGAAAUGCGUAGAUACUGGGAGGAACACCAGUGGCGAAGGCGGCUACCUGGACCGGUUCUGACGCUGAUGCGCGAAAGCGUGGGGAGCAAACAGG
RNAcentral lists this ribosomal RNA (253 nucleotides) under uncultured Acidobacteriota bacterium. RNAcentral describes it as "uncultured Acidobacteria bacterium partial 16S ribosomal RNA". It matches the Rfam family "Bacterial small subunit ribosomal RNA", at positions 524 to 776 of the family's 1533-position model. Lineage: Bacteria; Pseudomonadati; Acidobacteriota. The record is from RNAcentral.